UACAUGGGCGACGACCGGCAAACGGGUGCGUAACACGUACGCAAUCUACCCACUACAGGGGAAUAGCCCAGGGAAACUUGGAUUAAUACCCCAUAUUAUAUAGGAGUGGCAUCACUUUUAUAUCAAAGCUUCGGCGGUAGUGGAUGAGCGUGCGGUUGAUUAGAUAGUUGGCGGGGUAACGGCCCACCAAGUCUACGAUCAAUAGCUGAUGUGAGAGCAUGAUCAGCCACACGGGCACUGAGACACGGGCCCGACUCCUACGGGAGGCAGCAGUAAGGAAUAUUGGGCAAUGGACGCAAGUCUGACCCAGCCAUGCCGCGUGAAGGAUGAAGGUCCUCUGGAUUGUAAACUUCUUUUAUCUGGGGCGAAAACAACUCUUUCUAGAGUUCUUGACAGUACCAGAGGAAUAAGCACCGGCUAACUCCGUGCCAGCAGCCGCGGUAAUACGGAGGGUGCAAGCGUUAUCCGGAUUCACUGGGUUUAAAGGGUGCGUAGGCGGGUUAG
RNAcentral lists this ribosomal RNA (504 nucleotides) under uncultured Sphingobacteriales bacterium. RNAcentral describes it as "bacterial SSU rRNA". It matches the Rfam family "Bacterial small subunit ribosomal RNA", at positions 81 to 583 of the family's 1533-position model. Lineage: Bacteria; Pseudomonadati; Bacteroidota; Sphingobacteriia; Sphingobacteriales. The record is from RNAcentral.